UUUUAGUUAAAAAAUGAAAUAAGAUAAGUUACAUCAUGCCAUGCUCUUAGUAGAUAAAACAUUUUAAUUUGGUAAGGAAAGGGAUUUAGCACAGCAGUUCUUUAUAAAAAUUAUUUUCCCUUUACCCAAGAACCAAGCCUCUCCAUUGCUGUAAUUUCAUCUUUUUUUGUUUGUUCAUUCGAGACAGGGUCUCGCUCUGUUGCCCAGGCUGGAGUGCAGUGGCACAGUCAUAGCUCACUGCAGCCUCAAACUCCUGGGCUCAAGCGAUCCUCCCAUCUCAGCUUCCCAAACCACUGGGAUGACAGGCACGAGCUCCUGCGUCCGACCUCAUCUCUUAAACCUGUUAGACGGUGCCACUGUGUUUUCAAUGCACUGUGUAUUCAGUGUGCCCUCCACCCCUAUAGGACUCAGGACAAAACGUUACCUCCUGGAUUCUCUUUGCCUCCUCACGAUUUAUGGCAAUGCACCCCAUCCAGGAGGCUCUGACACAGUAAGGACCCACACACUAGCAGUCAUAUGCAUGCUUUUUCUUCUCCCUUAUUUAAAAAAAAUUCGAGAUUCUGCCAACACUUUUCUAUGUAGUACUUGAACCAUCUUGCAAAGGGUAACUUGUCCAUUUAACAAUUAUUUCUCGCUCUGUCCAAAUCAAUAAGGCUUAGAGACACAAAGACAUGCCAUUUAAAAAUUACACAUAAAAAAACCUACAGAAUCUCUAACGCAGGGGUCAACAAAUCCACCUGCAAGCCAAAUAAGGCUUUAUAAAUAAAGACUAAUUAGCACUUAGCCAUGCUUAUGUGUUUAUAUAUUGUCUAUGGCUGCAGACAACUGAGUUAAAUAGUUAAGACAGUGACCCUAUCUGCCACAAAACCUAAGAGAUUUGCUACUGGCCCUUUACAGAAAGUCCACUAAUCCCGGCUCUAACAGAAAUGAAGUGCACGUAGCAUGUGUAACUUUAAAGCUCUCAGUAGCCAUAUUAAAUCAGUAAAAAAAAACAGGGGAAGAUAAUUUUAAUGAUACAUGUUAGCCCAAUAUAUGCAAAAUAGGAUCAUUUCAACACAUAAGGCAUAUUCAGUUAUUAAUGAGAAAUGUUCUAUUUUUUCCAUAAAAAGGCUUGGAAGUCUGGUGUGUUUUACACUGAUCGGAUGACAUUUCGAUUCAGACUAGCCUCAGUUCAAGUGCUCCCUAGCCACUGGUGACUAGCAGCCACCACACUGGUCCCUGCAUAUCUGAAGAGCAUGCCAAGUGAGAAGAGAAAAAGACGAAAAAGAAUGCAGUUUCCACUUACGGCUGCAGCUUCGGACAAGUCCAAUUACACAGUGAUGAUUAAGCCUUCCUAAUAUAAUCCCACUCUCCAAUCUGCUGUGCUGGUUGACUUUGGGGAUGGUUGUCAGCUCUGUGACUUGGUUUUGUGGCCUCUUGACGGUCUACACAGGGCAUUCAUGGACUUGGAGGAAGAUGGGAGAGUCCAGAGGCAAGGAGGACACUGCAGGACUGGGACUGAAUAACAAAGAAAACGCCAGAGAGACUCCAGGAGAGCAAGAUCGGUUCACAUGGAAGAACGACGUACACGGCAGGCACAUGGGGCCAGGAGGCCAUGCAGCUGCGGCUGCGGAAGCCAUCAACUGCUUCGAUGUGGACCAAGGAAGGCAGAUGGCGGGGCUGAUUCAAGACUGGGCUUCUGCACAGAGUGAUGCACAUUUCAGUUUGUUUCCAAUAUGAGCUCUGUUGCACUGAUCGACUUCAAUAAAUUCUCUACAGUAAACAUCCAGUACACAAGGUACUCCCUAAUGGAUACAUUGCGUACUGUCAUACGUGGGAUGCUAUGAUAGCAUUGAGAAUGAAUGAGCUACAGUGACAGCAGAUAGGAACAUUGCACAUACAACGUUGGUGACAGAUGCAAGACCCCAGAAGAUACAUGCUGUAUGAUUCCAUUAAUACAAAAUUACUUCUUGUUGAGGAUGCGCACAUAGAGGACAUUAUCAAAAAAAAAAAAAAAAAGCAAAGAGAUGAUUUCCCCAAAAGCCCAAACAGUGGUAGCUUCCAAUGGUGAGAGACUUCUAGUGCAAUGGUAAUCGCACGAGGCCCCUGAGCAAAUGGCAAUGUUCUGCCUCUUCACUUGGGAAAUCACUGGUUCAAUAACAUGUAUAUGUCUCUGGAAUGCUCUUUAACACUUAUAGGUCAUAAGUCACAAUAAAAAAUGAAAGGGAAGGAGGAAAAUGCUCUGUGGCUCCAACAGCAUCAAAUUUUAUAUAAAUAUAUAUAUAUAUAUAUAUUUUUUUUUUUUUUGAGACGGAGUUUCGCUCUUGUUGCCCAGGCUGGCAUGUAAUGGUGCGAUCUCAGCUCACCGCAACCUCCUUCCCGGGUUCAAGCCAUUCUCCUGCCUCAG
RNA transcript from Pongo pygmaeus (Bornean orangutan), 2386 nucleotides. RefSeq lists it as uncharacterized. The record is from RefSeq and is a predicted model, not a curated record. Lineage: Eukaryota; Metazoa; Chordata; Mammalia; Primates; Hominidae. The transcript is spliced from 3 exons.